CCCUUGCAGCUGCCCUCCUUCUUAGGUUCCCUAGCCGACAGCGACAGAGGAAGGGUAAUGGUCACUGGCCAUCACCAGAUACACCCAGCUUCCUGCCUCUGGCCACCGGGGGCUGUACCCCUAGUCCCUGUAGGGGGUGGGGCCCUGUGACUGGUUCUGGCCAGCGAGUGUGGACGCAGCAAUGUGUGUCACCACUGGGAGAUUUCACAGCCGUGCAGCUUUGCCACAUCCAGUCUCUGCCAUUGUGCAGUUGCAGUCAGGACAGGGCUUCUGUCAGCCCGAGCCCCCGAGGGUGACCAGGACCAGAGUCCUCUGGGCUGAUCCAUGUGGGACAUGCCGUAGAAGAGGAAUAAAACUCUUAAGAUGCUGGGAACUGCUUUUACUUCUGCUUGUCUCCGCCUACCUUGAUGGAUGAAGUGAAUAAAGCCAGGGUGAAGGGACUCCCUUCACCCCCGGGGCCUGGGUGGGGGUAAGACUUGGGUGCAGGAAAAUCAGGUAUAGGGCUGAGAUGGGUCUUCUCCAUUCUCCUAGUUCUUUUUUUUUUUUUUUUUCUGUCUUUUUGCCUUUUCUAGGGCUGUUCCCGCGGCAUAUGGAGGUUCCCAGGCUAGGGGUCUAAUCGGAGCUGUCGCCACUGGCCUACUCCACAGCCACAGCAAUGCCAGAUCUGAGCUGAGUCUGCGACCUACAUCACAGCUCACGGCAACGCCAGAUCCUUAACCCACUGAGCGAGGCCAGGGAUUGAACCCACAACCUCAUGGUUCCUAGUCAGAUUCUUUAACCACUGAGCCACUAUGGGAACUCCCCAUUCUCCUAGUUCGAAGGCGCUCCUGCUUCCCUGAGGGGCCGCCAGGUAUCCUCACACGUAACUUAGUGGCCGGUUGGGCAGCUGAGGCCCUGGCUCUGAGCUCAGCAACUUCAGUGAGGGUCACGUGCUAACUCUACUUCCCAGGAGUCGCCCUGUGGCUACAGAACUUCAGGCUUGUGUAGGAGUCAGAGGACUGACAGUCUGCAGCGCCAGUGGUCAGGCUCAGUGGCCUCCUUGGAGUUUCAGGCCAGUGGGAGACAAGAAAGCCAGUUGGCCAUGAGUGGAAAGUGCUGUUCUUAUUAAGACAAUAAAAGGAGGCAAUGGGAUAGAGAGGGUGGGGAAGGCUGCUUUAGCUGGAUGGCGGGGGACGGCCUCUCGGAGGCGGUGAUGUAUAUAGAGUUGGGACUUGCUGGAUGAGUCGCCAGCCGAGCGGGAAAGCGUGCCAGGCAGAGGGUGGGGGUACUCAUGGCCUUGGCUGUGCAAGUGGUUUCACAUCCGUACGCGAUACCAGAUGGUCAGUGAGCACCCACGAUGUGCCAGACCCUGUCCUGGGUGCCCGGGGGAGAUGUCAUUCAUCGCUGUGAACAGGGGACAGGGCUGUGGCCCUUAAAGUUCACGUGCCGUGAUCCUGGUUGAUCUGCCAAAUGCCUUCCACACCGAAUCUAGAUCCUCCUCACGGCAGGCUGGACAGCGGCACCAUCGUUCCCCCCAUCACCUGGGAUACAGGACUGAGGGUCAGAGGGAUUAAGUGACAACCCACAUGGUACGUGGGGAUGCUGGGACUGAACAGGCGGCCUGGCUCUGAAGCUCCUGGCCUUCCUAUGAGGCUGUCCUGCCUCCCUCACUAGAGCAGACAUGGCGCAGUGAGGCCUGGAAGGGGGGACCCCUUGUGAGCAGUGGGCCAUCCCCUGGCCAUGGGGAAGGAGGGCCCCAGGGCAGACAGCAAUGGUGGGGGAGUGUUUGGUGGGGAGGGCGCUGGGCUAGGGAAGCCCCAGAGGGCACUUUAGGCAUUUCCACAGGCAGUAGAUCAGGCUGCUCCCUGAGUGCCCCCAGAGCCCCCCGACCUGUGUAGGGAGUGUUGGCCUUUCUUCCCUGGGCAGCUGGGGGAGGGGAGGGCAGGUGAAAGCACGAAAAGGGACGGAGAGUCCUGAGGCUCCAGUGGCUACUGACUCUGCCUGGCUGUGCCUCUCCAUGUCCUGAACCAAAUGCCUGUAGGGUCUGCUGCAGCCCCCGGCUGGGGACGGCCUUCUGGCAUAGCUGUCCUCCCAAGCCCUGGGCAGAGCAGUAUGACACGUGGGUCACUGCGACGUGAAAAUCUCCCAGACCCUCCUCUAUAAGCACCAUCCGCCACGUUGAUAAACAUGUGGAAAUUUGCGCAUAAGCGCAGAAGGUUCUCCUUUGUCUGGAGAGCGUCACGGACCAAGUCAUCCCCCUGGACCUUCCUGCCUGGGCAAAGGGUCCAUGAGCGGUGGCUUCAGGUUGUCUCCUCUGACCUAUUGCUUCUCUCGGAAGGAAGGGUGUGCUCGGUGUGACCCCCGUGGGAGAGCCAUCCUCGCUUGUGGGGGACAGAGCCAGGAGACCCUGGGGGUGGAGACAGGGGCCUGGGAGAUGCUGUCCCCGUGGUGACCACCUGCAGAUUGACAGUCUCCGUGCUGGCUGCCUCCAGCCGAGAAACAAGAUGUGCUGAGAAGGAGGGAGGCAGCAGGAUGUUGCAAGAACGGGCAAGAGCGGAGGAUGAGGGGCCUUGGGGACCACGGGUAACUGGAGACUAGGCUUGAGAGUAAUAACAGGAUCGGUGGACUUGAACCAGAGUGGAAAGGCCAAGGGGCGGACCGUCCCACCUGGGAACUGGCCCCUGGGCUGUGGGCAGAUUCAAGAACCCCAUCGGCAGAGGGCCCAAGCUUGAUGUUGGGGUCCCCUUUCUUCUCCCUCUUAACAUUGCAUCCUCCUUUUGGGGUCCUGACCUUCCCCUCGGGCACAUGCCAUCAUUUGGAUCUCUUUCUUGUCUUUCACUGUGGACAAGAUUUAACGAAUGAGCCCUCAGACUCCUGCGUGUCUCAGACCAUAGGGAGGAUCAGGGCGAGGCCAGAGGGAACGGGCCGGAGACCACCGCGCAGACCAUGCUGAAAGCGUAUCUUUGCCUAGACACUCUCCAUGGUUAGUGGCACCUGCGUCAUCACACUUGAACCUCAGAUGGCCCUGUAAACACCCUACUUUACAGAUGAGAAACAGAUGAGAGCAGAAAGUCUUCGGGAGGAUCAAAUCCACUAGCCUAGAAAGAUGCAAGCCCUCCCCUCUCUCCAUCACAUUUCCCUGCUCCACGAUGGAUCUCUCACCAAGGAGUUUGUGUCUGGCUGAACUGCUUUUUGUGUAAUUGUCCAGUGGCGCCUUCGAGAAAAGACUUGGGACAAUUUAUAGGAGACGUUGGCUCGAUUGCAGUCACUUGUGGCUGAUAAGAUGUGUAAAUGUGUUCACUUCCGCAGCAUUUGGUCUGUGGUUCGAGCUGAGUGGAUGACAGGAAAUGCAGUAAAGCUACAUCCACACACACUAAGGGAACCAAACACAGCCUGGCUUGCAAACGUGCUGAAGGAGCUGGCCUCCGAGCCUUCGCAGACUCUUUGGAAUGAAUCAGGUCUCCAAGAACAUCUGUUUUGGUGUGUUGUCCAUUUUGCACUUAGUUUCUGCAUAAUGGCAGUGGUUGGGAAAUCAAAACGAUCUUUGGAGCUGCAAGCCUGUGGAAAUUGCGUUGAGUCAGACUUGCUGCAGAAAGAGACAUCCGCCUAAUUUUCACUGAAGAGGUCGUUAGGUGGGGUCCUGUCUGCUGCAGUCCGCUGGGGAAUUUAAUCCACACAGGCUCUCAGGCUUGGUAUCCUGAAAUUUCAUGCCAUUGUGCUUUUAUCCUAAGGAUGCGAAUGCCGUGUCUGAGCACCUGUGCAAGAAGGAGAGGGGUGGAAGGCAUGGGGCCCAAGCAGCUGCUCUGACAGCAGCUGGGAAGGAAGGUGAGUGGAGCAAGUUUGGGUGAGGACACUGGCUUGUGGGCUGGAGCCCCACCUAUGGAAGCGUCAAGACCUUCAGGGGUUCCCUUUCUCCUCCAUCCCUUUCCUCCUCACUCAUGGCCCUGGUUGCCCUCUUGGUUCCUUCUUGCGUCAUGAGCAUGGCAGGGCCAGGCACACCUGCUUCCUUACACACCGGCUCUUUCCUCUGUCCCCAUGGCACGGGCCCUGCCCUCUGCAUGGCUUACUCUCCUCUCCCUCUCAGCUCAGUGUCCCCUCCUCAGAGAAGCCCUCCAUGACUACCUUGUCCAAAAGAACCCCACGUUUCUUCUCCCUUUUCCAUGCUUGCUCUUUAUUGCAUUUAUCUUUUUUUUUUUUUUUUCUUUUUUCGGCUUUUGUCCUUUUAGGGCCGCACUCGCGGCAUAUGGAGGUUCCCAGGCUAGGAGUCCAAUCGGAGCUGUUGCUGCCGGCCCACACCACAGCCACAGCAACACCAAAUUCGAGCCGUGAAUGCCUACACCGCAGCUCACGGCAACGCUGGAUCCUUAACCCACGGAGCAAGGCCGGGGAUUGAACCACAACCUCAUGGUUCCUAGUUGGAUUCGUUUCUACUGUGCCACAGUGGGAACUCCUAUCGUUAUCAUUUUUGAUAAUGUUUAUUUAUUUGCUGACUUGUUUACUGUAUACUGCCUUGUUGGUAUGUGGGCUCUGUGAAGGCAGCCAGGGCCUGUCUCUGAGUGGCUUCCAUUCUAUGAGGAUGAAUAGAUCAGGCUGUGGUUGCCUGGAAAGCAUGUUGGGACCCUAUAGUCGGAGAGAGGAGGGCCCAGGGCUGGAGCUGGAGAGAUGGAGUGGGGUGGGGGUGGGCUGGGGCUGAGGGGGCCUGGAGUUUGGCUCUGAGGGCCGGACAGAUCCCGGCAGGGGAGUCGUGCUCAGAGCCCCUCAGAGUUUCCACACUCGCCUGGCAGUUGUCCUGACCUGGCAUUUCCCAAAGGGAUUUCAGGUGGAACGUUCUGAAAUAAAAUAUAUAUAUAUUUUUCACAGUGAAGUUUUUUUUUAAUGUAUUAGGGGAAACAUAUGUAACUCAUGAAUUAAGACUCUAAUUUUAUACAUAUUGCAUAAGAGGAAACUAAAGUAUUUGAGGUUUUCUUAAGCCUAAUUCAGGGAAAAGGCUAAAGCAGGAGUCUCAACACUGUGACCUGCUGACCAAAUCCAGGCCCCCCCCCCUUUGUACAUAAAGUUUUGUGUGCAUGUUAGUUUAAUACUCUCUAUAGCUGCUUUGGUGCUACAAUGGCAGAGUUAAAUAGUUGUGACAACUACCACUGGAUCUGCAAAACCUAAAAUAUUUUUUAUCUGACUCUUAUAGUAAAAGUAAAUAAUUUUCAAAAAUCACUGAGAUUUGGAGUUCCCGUUGUGGCUCAGUGGUUAACGAAUCCGACCAGGAGCCAUGAGGUUGCUUGUUCAAUCCCUGGCCUUGCUCAGUGGGUUAACGAUCCGGCGUUGCCGUGAGCUGUGGUGUAGGUUGCAGAUGUGGCUCAGAUCCCACUUUGCUGUGGCUCCGGCGUAGGCUGGCGGCUACAGCUCCGAUUUGACCCCUAGCCUGGGAACCUCCAUAUGCCGUGGGAGCGGCCCAAGAAAU
This 5434-nucleotide long non-coding RNA is filed under the name Sus scrofa (pig). RNAcentral's name for it is "lncRNA (ENSSSCG00000059195.1)". Lineage: Eukaryota; Metazoa; Chordata; Mammalia; Artiodactyla; Suidae. The record is from RNAcentral.